AUACGUAGGGGGCGAGCGUUAUCCGGAAUUAUUGGGCGUAAAGAGUACGUAGGUGGUUUCCUAAGCGAGGGGUUUAAGGCACUGGCUUAACCAAUGUUCGCCCCCCGAACUGGGGAACUUGAGUGCUGGAGAGGAAAGCGGAAUUCCUAGUGUAGCGGUGAAAUGCGUAGAUAUUAGGAGGAACACCAGUGGCGAAGGCGGCUUUCUGGACAGUAACUGACACUGAGGUACGAAAGUGUGGGGAGCAAACAGGAUUAGAUACCCUGGUAGUCCACACCGUAAACGAUGAGCACUAGGUGUCGGGCUCGCAAGAGUUCGGUGCCGCAGUUAACGCAUUAAGUGCUCCGCCUGGGGAGUACGUACGCAAGUAUGAAACUCAAAUGAAUUGGCGGGG
Molecule: ribosomal RNA, 394 nt
Filed under: uncultured bacterium
Lineage: Bacteria
Description: partial 16S ribosomal RNA
Rfam family: Bacterial small subunit ribosomal RNA
Source: RNAcentral